Dreissena polymorpha is the source of this 395-nucleotide long non-coding RNA. RefSeq lists it as uncharacterized. The record is from RefSeq and is a predicted model, not a curated record. The transcript is spliced from 3 exons. NCBI's taxonomy places the organism in Eukaryota, Metazoa, Mollusca, Bivalvia, Myida, Dreissenidae.
GUGUCGUGAGUACGCGAGAAAGAUGGCAGAAUCAAAAUCGAAGUCAAGAAAGAGAGCAUAUGUAUAUAGCAAUCCAUAUUCUCUUGCUUGAACUUUGAAGUAUGACUCUUUUGCGAUGCCAACGUCAAGCCGUACAGGCACAGUUCCCCGAGUUGGAUCAUUAGGUGCCAGGCAAAUGCAAGGGACAUCGUAUGCAACUGCUCAGACCAAGAAUGGACGUACUGCUAAUUAUACACAAGAAAGUCCUGCAUUUUCCGGCUCCAUAACAUUACCAGUUUUGUCAUCAGAAGCCGAACAAUAUUAUAGUUUGAUCAAGUCAACGGGUUCAUAUAUGCCCGUAAACGAAUCUCUGGAUGUAUUCGUUCUGUUAGACUGCGAUGAGCACACAAAAUUCA